GCUGUGGCUCAGUGGUAGAACAUCUGUUUGGGAUACAGAAGGUCCCAAUUUCAAACACCAGCAUAUCCA
RNAcentral lists this transfer RNA (69 nucleotides) under Sphaerodactylus townsendi. Its description in RNAcentral is "tRNA-Pro". Lineage: Eukaryota; Metazoa; Chordata; Lepidosauria; Squamata; Sphaerodactylidae. The record is from RNAcentral.